UCGGUGCCGCAGCUAACGCAUUAAGUACUCCGCCUGGGAAGUACGCUCGCAAGAGUGAAACUCAAAGGAAUUGACGGGGACCCGCCCAAGUAGCGGAGCAUGUGGUUUAAUUCGAAGCAACGCGAAGAACCUUACCUAAGCUUGACAUCCCAAUGACAUCUCCUUAAUCGGAGAGUUCCCUUCGGGGACAUUGGUGACAGGUGGUGCAUGGUUGUCGUCAGCUCGUGUCGUGAGAUGUUGGGUUAAGUCCCGCAACGAGCGCAACCCUUGUCUUUAGUUGCCAUCAUUAAGUUGGGCACUCUAGAGAGACUGCCA
RNAcentral lists this ribosomal RNA (315 nucleotides) under Clostridioides difficile. RNAcentral describes it as "bacterial SSU rRNA". It matches the Rfam family "Bacterial small subunit ribosomal RNA", at positions 840 to 1154 of the family's 1533-position model. Lineage: Bacteria; Bacillati; Bacillota; Clostridia; Peptostreptococcales; Peptostreptococcaceae. The record is from RNAcentral.